UUGGUCAGAAUCGAACCCGAGACCCUUCGGUGCACAGGCCACGCCCUUUUAAAGUGUGCAAUCCCGUGAUUUUUAGUAGAGUCACAAAGUUGUGCAUCAAUCACCACUGUCUAAUUCCAGAACAUUUUCAUCGCUCCAAAAAGAAAAAAACUCCACACACAUUAGCAGCCAAUUGGAACAACCCCUAAGCAGAGGCCCCGCCUCAUUCAUUCUUUUAGUUCAGCACCUCACCCAGUGCCUGGCCAAAUCCAGUCACUCCCCAGCCCCAGCAACCACUAGUCUACUUUCUGUCUCUAUGGACUUGCCUCUUCCGAACAUUUCAUAUAAACUUAAUCAUGCAAUAUCUGGCCUCGUAUGUCUGGCUUUUAUGCCUUAGCAUAAUGUUUUCAAGAUUCAUCCAGAUGUGGUGUGUUCUGGUACUUCACUCCUCUUUAUGGCCAAAUAACAGUCCAUUGUAUGAAUAUACCACACUUUGCUGAUCAGUUCAUCAGUUGAUGGAUAUUUGAGUUGUUUCCACUUUGGCCACUCAACCACCCCAUUUUACAGAUGGUAAAACAGAGGCCGAGAGUCACCAUAACCUGGAUGGAAUAGGGGCCCAGGCCUCCCCUAACAUCCACCUCUUCCCACGGCAUCGCUCUGGGAGAACAUAAGGAGCAGAGGGUCUAAGCCCGGCAACAGAUUCCCUGCUGGUUCACAGCAGCAGCCUUCAAACCGGAGUAUCUCGUAAUCUGCUGCUGGUUCGAGAAAUGCCCGGCCACAGCUCAGCCUUGAAAAGGAGGAUCAUGGCUUCUGUCCCCCUCCCGGGCCCAAGUCACCAUCACCUCUUCUCUGCUCAGCUCCUAAUUGGUCUCCCUGCUUUUCUCCCUGCCCCACUACAGUCUUUUCUCAAUUUUAGGACUCAGAGGGAGUGGCCGUUAAAACCCAAGUCAGGUCACGUCACUGCUUUGCUCAUAACCCUCCAGCAGCUCCCAUCACACUCAGACUAAAAGUCAAAGUCCUAACUAUGGCCUUUGCAUGCUCCCAUGAUCCUCUCCAUCUUUGACAUCAUCUCUCUGUGCCCCAGCCUCGCUGCUCUUUCUCAAACACCAAGCACUCUCCUGCCUCAGGACCUUUGCACUGCUUCUUCCUUCUUCUUGCAUCACUCUCCUCCUCACGGCUCAUUACCUCAUUUUCUUUGCUAAAAAACUGCCUUACCAAAGAGGACUUUCCUCGAAACCUUAUGUAAAACAACUCUCCCCUUUCAUGCUUUCUCUACUUAUGCUGCUUUUUUUAAAGCACUAAUUACCAUCUGACAUAUGAUAUAGAUAUUUGUUCACUUGCUUCUCAUCUGUCUCCUUCACUAGAAUGUCAGCUCCAUGAGAGCAGGGAGUCUGGUUCAUGUUGUUCAUUACUGUAGCCCCAGUGCCCAGAACAGAGCUGGCACAUAGUAGGUGUUCAAUAGGCAUUAAGAGAUAAGGGAUUCAAACCUUCCAGUGAAUAAGCAGUCUAGCCCUCUCACCAAUCCGCCCAUCAGGCUGAGACUAUGACAAUAACAAUAGCAGUUGAUUGUUCUAGAGCCUUUCCUAUGAAGCCAGGACCUUGCCCUUAAUCCUUGAACCCUGAGAGUUGGAGAUGAUAAUAAGCUCAGAGGGGUUAAGCGAUUUGCCCAAGGAGACGGGAAUGGCAGCAGAAGAGGAGCCCAGGCAUCCAGCCUGACUCCUGAGCAGAGCUCUUAAGCCGCUGAGCCACAAUGUGCCAUACUCUCAAGAAAGAAAACAAAAAACAAAACAGUUGAAAUGGAAGCCACGGUUGAGCUCUGGGCGCCAGGCGAGACUGCGGCUUUCCGCGUGCGCGGCGGUCCCGCCCCACCGCUCUUUGAUCUUUGCAGCGCCCGUGGCCCCGCUGACCCCGCCGAGGAGCCCAUGGCUGGGCCCACCACCCACGUUGCCCCCAUGCUGUUCCUUGCCCUCCUGGCGUUUCUGGAGCUGAGCCUGGCCGGCUCCCUGGGCCCUGGAACCCCUGCUCGAAACCUCCCUGAGAAUCACAUCAACCUCCCAGGCCCAGCACUGUGGACGCCUCAGGCCAGCCACCACCACCGGCGGGGCCUGGGCAAGAAGGAGCGGGGGCCAGGCAUGCCUGGCCGGGCCCAGGAUGGAGCUGUGGGCACCUCCACCAGGCAGGCCUCCAGGCUGCCAGGGGCAGGGGGGCUGCUGCCUAGGCAAAGUCCUGCAGGCCUGCUGCAGGACAAGAGUCUGCUCCUGGGGCUGGCCCUGCCCUACCCUGAGAAGGAGAACCGGUCUCCAGGGAAGAGACGCAGCAGGGAGCACAAGAGACGCAGGGAGAGGUUGAAACUGCACAGAGGCCGAGCCUUGGUCCGAGGCCCCAGCUCCCUCAUGAAGAAGGUGGAGCUGCCCGAAGACCAGGCGCUGGACGCUGCCAUGGAGGAGUCGUCCACCAGCCUGGCCCCGACCAUCCUCUACCUCACCACCUUUGAGGCAGCACCUGCCACGGAAGAGUCCCUGAUCCUGCCUGUCACAUCCCUGUGGCCCCAGGCUCAGCCCAGGCCUGACGGGGAGGUGAUGCCCACGCUGGACAUGGCCUUGUUCGACUGGACCGAUUAUGAAGACUUAAAACCUGAGGCCUGGCCCUCUGCCAAAAAGAAAGAGAAGACCCGGGGUAAACUCUCCAGUGAUGGCAAUGAGACAUCCCCAGCCGAAGGAGAGCCAUGCGACCAUCACCACGACUGCCUGCCAGGGACCUGCUGUGACCUGAGGGGGCACAUCUGCAUGCCCCACAACCGGGGCCUCAACAACAAAUGCUUCGACGACUGCAUGUGUGCGGAAGGGCUGCGCUGCUAUGCCAAGUUCCACCGGAACCGCAGGGUCACGCGGAGGAAGGGGCGCUGCGUGGAGCCCGAGACGGCCAACGGCGACCAGGGAUCCUUCAUCAACGUCUAGUGGCCCAGACUGAGGCGCCUCCCCGCAGGCCUGGGGACUGAGCGCUGGAGGUUUGGAGAAGCGACAGUUUGUUUAUAACUAGCGGUGGGAGAGCAAAUGGGGGACCAGAUGUCUGAGGCUGCAGGCUCCAACCCAGGACCCGAUCCAGGACCCGCAGCCCCGGGAAGGGAGCGCUGGGGAACUGCCUCUGCCCAGGAGCCGAGCUAGCAGCUCGUCUGCACCCACACCCCUGAGGGACCCACAGGGCCUGAGCAACUGGUGCCCUGUUCUCCGCGAUGGCAAUGUCAAUAGUGCCCUCUACUGUCCGACCGCAGCACUGCAACAGCUUCGAGUUUUAAAAGUGAAGAGGUUUUUGAACAGAAAAGAAAUGGGAACUUGGGUGGGAGAUGAGCACGAAACACCUCUUUUGUGCCAGGCACUGCGCUACCUGCGUGACGUACGUUAUCCCGCGACCAUUUCGCCAUCUUACAGGUGAGGCAACAGCCACCGUUGAGUCAUCAGACCUGCCCGAGGUCCCAGCUCAGUGCUCCUCAGACCUUAACCUGUGUACCAGCCCUCUGGGGUCGGGUGCAAAUUCAGAUUCCUACUCAGCCGAUUCUGCCUUUCCUACAAGCCGAGGGCCUGCCCACGCCGCUGGUCCCCGGCCCCACCGAGAGCUCCCACCGUGUCUUGGGGAGCAGAUGUGGAGUUGUGAUCGGAACCUGGCCCAACGUUGUCGGUCUCCACAGCCCGUGUUCUUGCUCCUUCACAACUAAGGACUUACUGCAGGCUCUCCAGGGCUUUCAGCGAGAGAGGCGUGUUCCCUGCUAGUCCUUUCUCUGGGUGAAGCUGCAAUGACUGACCGCUCUCCUCCUUCCCUGGACAAGAGGCGGGCUGUCUGUGCCGGCAGUGAACACGGUCAGGACUCCACCUGCCACGUCUCUUGCAUUUUCUCACCCUCACCUUUUACUGAGCGUUUGCUCGGAGCUAAGCACUAAACCAGGCAGACGGGGCCUCUGCCCUCACCUGGGCCUCGCUGUGGUCCUUCGACCAGACCUCGUGGGUGGGAGUUUCACACCUUCAUCUCCUUCCCCAUCUUAGGGUUGGGGCAGCCAAGGUCCCACACAGAUGACGGGGCUGGUCACCGCAGGCCAGCCUCUGGCAACCUCAUUCCAGGCCUGGGUGGCCGAGUGCCGAGAAAUACUGAUGCCAACUCUGGCAGGACGGGGAGGAACUCAGUAACACCAUCGAAGCUGGGCCGGGCACGCCCCGAUGCAUCUUGGGAAAGCAUGCACUGGCGAGGGGGUGGCCUGGCUUUGCACCGGGAAGGGUGUCUCUUGUCUCCGUGGCAGCGGCAGCCAGCCCUGCUCAGCUCCACGCCCUCUGUGACCCUUAUCUAUGCUUUCGCUUUCCGUGGUUUCCGUUACCCGAGAUCGACCUCGGUCUGAAAUUAUUAAACAGAAAAUUGCAGAAGUAACUCAUACAUUUGAAAUCGGUGACAUUUUGAGUCGCAGGGUGAACUCACGCCAUCCCGCUCUGUCCGCCCCGGACAUAAACCAUCCUUUGUCCAGUGUAUCCACGCUGUUCACUAAACUCCCCGUUAGCUGUCCCGGUUGUCAGAUCAACUGUGGCCAGGCUUGUGUUUGUCACCCUUAUUUUCCUUAAUAGUGACUCACUCCCCUCACUUCGUCUCGUCACACAGGCCUCAUGUCAUCUCACAUCAUCACAAGAAGGGUGAGUCCAGUACGAGAUAUUCUGAGAGAGAGAACACGUUCCUAUAACUUCUAUGGCAGGAUGUUGUUGUAUUUGUUCCAUUUUUAUUAGUUAUUGUCAUUAAUCUCUUACUGUGCCUAAUUGA
Myotis brandtii (Brandt's bat) is the source of this 4773-nucleotide RNA transcript. It is a transcript of the gene named dorsal inhibitory axon guidance protein, with no coding region annotated. The record is from RefSeq and is a predicted model, not a curated record. The transcript has 8 exons. NCBI's taxonomy places the organism in Eukaryota, Metazoa, Chordata, Mammalia, Chiroptera, Vespertilionidae.